Molecule: long non-coding RNA, 308 nt
Filed under: Elaeis guineensis (African oil palm)
Lineage: Eukaryota; Viridiplantae; Streptophyta; Magnoliopsida; Arecales; Arecaceae
Description: long non-coding RNA (EGUI_LNC055329)
Source: RNAcentral
CUAAUGAAGCUCGGCAACUACACAGCUUACGUGACAGCAUCAUAUGCUACGAUGUACUCUACAUCACUAACUGAGUAGACUAAAGUAUCCUGCUUGAAACUUUUUCAGCAAAUUACUCCUAUAAUUAGGGUAUGAUCCGACACUUUCUUGUUGUCAUCUUGAUUUGACUGAAAUCAAAAUAUCCACAUGUUUAAAGUCAGUAUUUCCAUAUUUGAGUCACUGGACUUUAGUAUUUUCCAAAUACUUAAGGAUUGUCCAUAAAAUCUUUCAGUGGUUCUUACUUAGAUCAGACUGGUACCUGCUCACUA